Molecule: long non-coding RNA, 334 nt
Organism: Anopheles merus
Lineage: Eukaryota; Metazoa; Arthropoda; Insecta; Diptera; Culicidae
Exons: 3
Source: RefSeq, a predicted model, not a curated record
UACACAUCGAGCAGCUGUUAAACUACACAUCGUGCAUGCCGUAGGACACACAAACGAUAAGUUUCGUUAAGUCAGCCGUUGAAACUGUUUUAACUGGUGCUGGGCCAAGUUUUGUGUAUCAAUUGAAUUGCUUGGGUGUUGAUCAAACGUGUGUUGAGGUGAAUCGAGCUUGCGGAAAGAAAAGGCAUGUCGAUAUUUGCAAAAAUGGUGCUUUCGUCUGACCAAUUCCAAACGCGAACAGUUUGCGUGAUCCAAUCUAAUAACUUCAAGAGCAUCAAACGGCAACACAGAUGGAGAUCCAUACAGUAUGAAGAUGAAUACAGAUGAAGAUCUA